GUCUCAAAGAUUAAGCCAUGCAUGUCUAAGUAUGAACCGCUUGAGUCGCAAGGCUCAAAACGGGUGAAACUGCGAAUGGCUCAUUAAAUCAGCAAUCGUUUACUUGAUUGUGUGCUAUUAUGGAGUUGGCUAGGGGGUUCGCCUUUUAGUCAAAGCUAUUAUGGCUGUAUGGAUAACCGUGGUAAUUCAAGAGCUAAUACAUUAACAAAAAAAAUAAGGUUGACUUUUCGCAAGAGAGGAAGAUCUGCAUUUAUUAGAUACAAUUGCAAAACCGAAACUCUUAGGAAGGAGGCUUGCUUUCUUUCUAGGGUUUUAAUAGUUGGUGAUUCAUGGUGACUGUGCGAAUCGCAUGACACUCAUUUUCGGAUGAGAUUUUGUCGGCGAUGGAUCAUUCAAAUUUCUGACCCAUCAAUUCUCGACGGUUGGAUAGAGGCCAACCAUGUUGACGACGGGUAACGGAGAAUUGGGGUUCGAUUCCGGAGAGGGAGCCUGGAGAAACGGCUCCCACUUCCAAGGAAGGCAGCAGGCGCGCAAAUUGCCCAAUCCUAAUACAGGGAGGCAGUGACAAGAAAUAACAAUGCAGGCCUCUUGAAAUAUAGAGACUGCAAUUGGAAUGAGAACAAUUUAAAACGCUUAACAAGGAACAAUUGGAGGGCAAGUCUGGUGCCAGCAGCCGCGGUAAUUCCAGCUCCAAUAGCGUAUGCUAAAAUUGCUGUAGUUGAAAAGCUCGUAGUUGGAUUUCGGAGUAAAAAGGAUGGGCUGGUGAGUUGCUUAAAAAACAAUCUACGCCACCUUUCUGUCGAGAUUUAAUACUUGGUUGAGGGAGAGUUUGCUGGUAAAACAGUGGAUAAACUUUUUCUUCUAAGGUCUCUUUACUCCUUUUUCUUGGCUGCUGUUUAUUUUUUAUCCUUUAGGGGAGAAGAGAGUAAAUACGGAGUCAAGAAGGUUUGGCUGGGUGCUCGUAAUUAUUCUUUACUGAAUAAUUAUUUUUCAGGCACCUUUAAGGGGGAGAGUCAAAUCUUUUUCUUUUAGUGCCUGGAUUUGUUUGAUAGAGAGUCUUUCUUUAUCAACAGAGCUCCAGUCCUUUUACCUUGAACAAAACAGAGUGUUCAAAGCAGGCUCAAACUCGGCCGUCAAAACGUCGAGGAACGCCUUGUAUGCUUCAGCAUGGGAUAAUGGAACAGGACCAGGUUGGGUCACGUGCAUAUUUCGUUUUGGUUUUCAGCCGUGAACAAAUUGAAUUUAACAGUUCACCCAACCGGUGAUGAUUGACAGGGAUUGUCGGGGACAUUGGUAUUUAAUUGUCAGAGGUGAAAUUCUUGGAUUAAUUAAAGACCAACUUCAGCGAAGGCAUUUGCCAAGGAUGUUUUCAUUUAAUCAAGAACGAAAGUUGGGGGAUCGAAGAUGAUCAGAUACCGUCGUAGUCCCAACCGUAAACGAUGCCGACCAGGGAUCGGGAAUGGAAGUAAACAAAAAGGUGAUAGCAGUCUUUAGGGGCUGUGUGUAACUGAAUCGUCCUUCCCGGCACCUUACAUAUAUUAUCUUUCCGGGAAACCACGAGUUUUUGGGUUCUGGGGGGAGUCUGGUCGCAAGGCUGAAACUUAAAGGAAUUGACGGAAGGGCACCACCAGGAGUGGAGCCUGCGGCUUAAUUUGACUCAACACGGGGAAACUCACCAGGUCCAGACUUGACGAGGAUUGACAGAUUGACAGCUCUUUCUUGAUUUCAAGGGUGGUGGUGCAUGGCCGUUCUUAGUUGGUGGAGCGAUCUGUCUGGUUAAUUCCGAUAACGAACGAGACCUCGGCCUACUGAAUAGUGAUGCCAAUUCUUCUUUCAACUUCAUAGAAAGAGGUGGCAUCGGAGGGGAGGAUUGAAGGCCCAAGUCGCAAGAUGGAAAGUUUUUGUCCUUUUUCUUUAUGUCAUCGCUUUUUGUAGAGUCAGGAUUUUUUGGUGGCUGAGGAGGAAACUCCUCGGUUAUCAGAUGCCUGGUUAUCUACCGAUGGUUGGAUUGUCGUAGUACACUUCUCAGAGGGACCACUUCGCGCUUUAAGCCAGCGAGUGGAAGAUCGAGGCAAUAACAGGUCUGUGAUGCCCUUCAGAUGUUCUGGGCCGCACGCGCGCUACACUGACGGAGACCAACGAGCGAUGGCGACAAUAAGCAAGGGGGAUUUUAUGCAACCUUUCGGGGUUGUAUGGAGACUUUCUCUUAUUGUCGGCGACCUAAGUCGAAACAGGCUUUGGGCAAUCUUGGUAAACUCUGUCGUGCUGGGGAUCGAUCCUUGUAACUGUGGGUCGUCAACGAGGAAUUCCUCGUAGGCGCGGUUCAUCAGACCGCGUCGAAUGCGUCCCUGCCCUUUGUACACACCGCCCGUCGCUCCUACCGAUUGAAUGGUCCGGUGAAGUCUUUGGAGCUGAACUUCGGUCUUUUUCCUUCUGGAAGAAGAUUAUUUGAAGUUCUCUUGUGGCGAAGUUGACUGAACCUUAUCAUUUAGAGGAAGGAGAAG
Molecule: ribosomal RNA, 2504 nt
Filed under: Sappinia sp. CCAP 1575/3
Lineage: Eukaryota; Discosea; Longamoebia; Thecamoebida
Description: partial 18S ribosomal RNA
Rfam family: Eukaryotic small subunit ribosomal RNA
Source: RNAcentral